CUCCUCAGGAAUCGGUUGAUUGAC
Molecule: small RNA, 24 nt
Filed under: Arabidopsis thaliana (thale cress)
Lineage: Eukaryota; Viridiplantae; Streptophyta; Magnoliopsida; Brassicales; Brassicaceae
Source: RNAcentral